UUCGAUUAGAGUUUGAUCAUGGCUCAGAUUGAACGCUGGCGGCAUGCCUUACACAUGCAAGUCGAACGGCAGCACGGGAGCAAUCCUGGUGGCGAGUGGCGAACGGGUGAGUAAUACAUCGGAACGUGCCCAAUCGUGGGGGAUAACGCAGCGAAAGCUGUGCUAAUACCGCAUAAGAUCUACGGAUGAAAGCAGGGGACCGCAAGGCCUUGCGCGAGUGGAGCGGCCGAUGGCAGAUUAGGUAGUUGGUGGGGUAAAGGCUCACCAAGCCGUCGAUCUGUAGCUGGUCUGAGAGGAUGGUCAGCCGGAUUGGGACUGAGAUACGGCCCAGACUCCUACGGGAGGCAGCAGUAGGGAAUCUUCCGCAAUGGACGAAAGUCUGACGGAGCAACGCCGCGUGAGUGAUGAAGGCUUUCGGGUCGUAAAACUCUGUUGUUAGGGAAGAACAAGUACGAGAGUAACUGCUCGUACCUUGACGGUACCUAACCAGAAAGCCACGGCUAACUACGUGCCAGCAGCCGCGGUAAAUCACUAGUGAAUUCGCGGCCGCCUGCAGGUCGACCAUAUGGGAGAGCUCCCA
Molecule: ribosomal RNA, 580 nt
Filed under: uncultured beta proteobacterium
Lineage: Bacteria; Pseudomonadati; Pseudomonadota; Betaproteobacteria
Description: bacterial SSU rRNA
Rfam family: Bacterial small subunit ribosomal RNA
Source: RNAcentral